RNAcentral lists this ribosomal RNA (497 nucleotides) under uncultured bacterium. RNAcentral's name for it is "partial 16S ribosomal RNA". It matches the Rfam family "Bacterial small subunit ribosomal RNA", at positions 28 to 523 of the family's 1533-position model. The record is from RNAcentral.
GAUGAACGCUGGCGGCGUGCUUAACACAUGCAAGUCGAACGAAGCGCUUUUAUUUGAUUUCUUCGGAAUGAAGAUUUUAGUGACUGAGUGGCGGACGGGUGAGUAACGCGUGGGUAACCUGCCUCAUACAGGGGGAUAACAGUUAGAAAUGACUGCUAAUACCGCAUAAGACCACAGUACCGCAUGGUACAGGGGUAAAAACUCCGGUGGUAUGAGAUGGACCCGCGUCUGAUUAGGUAGUUGGUGGGGUAACGGCCUACCAAGCCGACGAUCAGUAGCCGGCCUGAGAGGGUGACCGGCCACAUUGGGGCGGAGACACGGCCCAAACUCCUACGGGAGGCAGCAGUGGGGAAUAUUGCACAAUGGGGGAAACCCUGAUGCAGCGACGCCGCGUGAGCGAUGAAGUAUUUCGGUAUGUAAAGCUCUAUCAGCAGGGAAGAAAAUGACGGUACCUGACUAAGAAGCACCGGCUAAAUACGUGCCAGCCGCCGCCGUAA